AUAGCCGUGUUUGGUGCGUUAGUGGAUUUAUAAUCGAAAUUAUUUUUGGUGGUGUGUAGGAAAGUUUCGGGGACGAAACUUUCUUUAAUGGGGGGAUGAUGUAAGGACUGAGAAUUUGACAGUAUAGUUAGACUCUCUGUUGAUAAUAUUUUUGUGUGUAAUGUAAUUACAAAAGCACUCGUCAUGUUUUGAGAGAAAACGAGCUAGAACGGAGAUUUUACGCGAUUUCCAAGUUUCACUUAAAGUGAAUAGUAACUCGGUUUUCCGGAGAGGCCAAUCUGUAGAGUUGGCUUUCGGCGCGAAUUGGACUCCGUUCAUAGCGAUCCAAUAGCUCGUUUUGAAUGGUUCAGCUAUUUUGAACUAAUGGGGCUGACAGAUUUUGGGUUUGAGGCACGAAUUUCGAGAAAAUUUGAAAAUACAUGUUUUAUAUGUAUUUGUGCGUCAUUUCACCUUUUGGAGAGAAAACAGAUUUCGUUGCGAAUCCGUGACCGAUCGAGGUGAAACAAAAUCGUAGCUUUGUUGUCUCCAUUGUGCUGAUCACACUAGUGUGAUCCGUUCGCAAAUCUGACGACCGGAUCUGCGGAUAUCGCGCGAUGAUCGAGGAGGGGUCGGUGAUGGCAAAACGGUAAUUUUGCAAAAGCUGCGACAUUUUAUGUACCGUUUCGCGUGAAAUCGCACGUGGAGGUGUUUUUGCGCGUUU
This 700-nucleotide long non-coding RNA is filed under the name Ananas comosus (pineapple). RNAcentral's name for it is "long non-coding RNA (ACOM_LNC006989)". Lineage: Eukaryota; Viridiplantae; Streptophyta; Magnoliopsida; Poales; Bromeliaceae. The record is from RNAcentral.